Molecule: RNA transcript, 4359 nt
Organism: Aethalodelphis obliquidens (Pacific white-sided dolphin)
Lineage: Eukaryota; Metazoa; Chordata; Mammalia; Artiodactyla; Delphinidae
Gene: FCSK
Gene name: fucose kinase
Exons: 25
Source: RefSeq, a predicted model, not a curated record
UACCCCCAGUGUUCUGCGCCGUUUCUCCGCCUCCUUCCCACACUCUUGGACCCGCAGGACUGAGCCGGGCCACUGGCUGCCUGGUUCCUGAUAGGGAAGAGCGUCGGGGAACUCUGCAGCAGCCCCCGGGCGCUCACUUGCUCCAAGGGGCGUCUGCGGGUCCUUCAACCCGUUGGCCUGGGUCUUUCUACAGGAGCUCCGGGACUUGGGGACGCCCGGGACAGGGACCAUAGGCAGGGGCAUCUUUGACCCAGAGAAUAUAUCAGAGCCUUCGUUCCAACCUGCUUCAGGGUCAAGUCGAACUCUCCUGUUGCUUUUCCUCACUGGAGAGAACUACCAUUCAUUGAGCUCCUGCUGUGUGCCACAUAUUUUUAUGUUUUAUUUAAUGCAGCCAUCCUAGGAGCCCCUCAACUUUGGCCAGAAUGGAGCAGCCGAAGGGGGUUGAUUGGACGGUCAUCAUCCUGACAUGCCAGUACAAGGACAGCGUCGAGGUCUUCCAGAGAGAGCUGGAGAUACGGCAGAAGCGAGAGCAGAUCCCCACCAGGACGCUGCUGUUGGCCGUGGAAGACCCUGAGGUUCAUGUGGGCAGUGGAGGAGCCACCCUCAACGCCCUGCUGGUGGUUGCUGAGCACCUGAGUGCCCGUGCGGGCUUCACUGUGGUCACAUCAGAUGUUCUGCACUCGGCCUGGAUCCUCAUCCUGCACAUGGGCCGAGACUUCCCCUUCGAUGACUGUGGCCGGGCCUUCACCUGCCUCCCUGUGGAGAACCCCCAGGCCCCUGUGGAGGCCGUGGUCUGCAACUUGGACUGCUUGCUGGACAUCAUGAGCCAUCGGCUGGGCCCAGGCUCCCCGCCAGGCGUGUGGGUUUGCAGCACCGACAUGCUGCUGUCUGUUCCUCCAAACCCAGGGAUCAGCUGGGACGGCUUCCGGGGAGCCAGAGUGAUCGCCCUUCCGGGGAGCACGGCCUAUGCCCGGAACCAUGGUGUUUACCUCACGGACUCCCAGGGCUUCGUUUUGGACAUUUAUUACCAAGGCACCGAGGCAGAGAUACAACGAUGUGCCAGGCCUGAUGGGCGGGUGCCACUGGUUUCUGGGCUUGUCUUCUUCUCUGUGGAAACUGCUGAGCACCUCCUGGCCACCCAUGUGAGCCCGCCUCUGGACGCCUGCACCUACAUGGGCUUGGACUCCGGAGCCCGGCCUGUCCAGCUGUCUCUAUUUUUUGACAUCCUGCUCUGCAUGGCCCGGAACGUGAGAAGGGAGGACUUCCUGGUGGGGCAGCCCCCAGAGAUGGGGCAAGGUGACGCGGACAUUGCAGGUUAUCGGCAUGGAGCCCGGGCAGAGCUGUGGAGGGAGCUUCGCGAUCAGCCCCUCACAGUGGCAUAUGUCCCUGACGGCAGCUACAACUACAUGACCAACUCAGCCAGUGAGUUCCUGCACUGUCUCACGUUCCCGGGGGCUCCUGGGGCCCAGGUCGUGCACUCCCAGGUGGAGGAGCGGCAGCUACUGGGGGCCGGGAGCUCUGUGGUCAGCUGCCUGCUGGAGGGCCCCGUCCAGCUGGGUCCUGGGAGUGUCCUGCAGCACUGCCACCUGCGGGGCCCCAUUCACAUCGGCACUGGCUGCUUCGUGAGUGGCCUGGACGUGGCCCAGUCCGAGGCACUGCACGGCUUGGAGCUGCACGACCUCGUCCUGCAGGGACACCAUGUGCAGCUGCACGGCGCCCGCAGCCGGGCCUUCACCCUCGUUGGCCGUCUCGACAGCUGGGAAAGACAGGGGACAGGAACGUAUCUCAACAUGUCUUGGAGUCAGUUCUUCCAGAAGACAGGCAUUCGGGACUGGGACCUGUGGGACCCAGACAUGCCCCGCAUUGAGCGCUGCCUUCUCAAUGCCCGUCUCUUUCCCGUGCUCCACCCCUCGAGGGCCCUGGGGCCCCAGGACAUGCUGUGGAUGCUGGACCCCCAGGAGGCUGGGAGCAAGGCCCUGCGGGCUUGGCGAGCCUCCUGGCGUCUGUCAUGGGAGCAGCUGCAGCCGUGCCUGGAUCGGGCUGCCACACUGGCCUCCCGCCGGCACCUGUUCUUCCGCCAGGCCCUGCAUAAGGCGCGGCACGUGCUGGAGGCCCGACAGGACCUCAGCCUGCGCCCGCUGAUCCAGGCUGCUGUGCGCGAGGGCUGUCCUGGGCCCCUGAUGGCCACCCUGGACCAGGUGGCAGCUGGUGUGGGAGAUCCUGGCGUGGCAGCCCGGGCACUGGCCUGUGUGGCGGAUGUCCUGGGCUGCAUGGCAGAGGGCCAAGGAGGCUUACGGAGUGGGCCAGCUGCCAACCCUGAGUGGGUGCGGCCCUUCUCGUACCUGGAGUGUGGAGACCUGGCGCGGGGCGUGGCGGCGCUUGCCGAGGAGCGGGACAAGUGGCUGAGCAGACCAGCCUUACUAGUACGAGCUGCCCGCCACUACGAGGGGGCUGGGCAGAUCCUGAUCCGCCAGGCUGUGAUGUCAGCCCAGCACUUUGUCUCCUCGGUGCCGGUAGAGCUGCCAGCACCUGGGCAGUGGGUGGUGGCUGAGUGCCCGGCUCGAGUGGACUUCUCUGGGGGCUGGAGUGACACGCCACCCCUUGCCUAUGAGCUUGGUGGGGCAGUGCUGGGCCUGGCUGUGCGAGUGAAUGGCCGCCGGCCCAUUGGGGCCAGGGCUCGCUGCAUCCCAGAGCCCGAGCUGUGGCUGGCAUUGGGACCUCGGCAGGACGAGAUGGCCACGAAGAUAGUAUGCGGGAGCCUGGAUGACCUGCAGGAUUACUGCCAGCCCCAUGCCCCAGAUGAGCCCCAGGCCAGGCUGAGAUGGGUGGGGUGUCUGUUUCCACCCCUGGAGACCAAAUUCCUUGCCGGAUGCUGCUCACUCCACAGGGGCGCUGUUGAAGGCGGCCUUCAUCUGUGCGGGGAUCGUGAGUGUCCACUCCAAGCUCUCGCUGAGCACCAGCAGCAUCCUGGCGGGGGCUGCCCUGGCCGCCUUGCAGCGGGCCGCAGGCCGGGCGGUGGGCACGGAGGCCCUGAUCCACGCAGUGCUGCAUCUGGAGCAGGUGCUUACCACAGGAGGUGGCUGGCAGGACCAAGUGGGUGGCCUAAUGCCUGGCAUCAAGGUGGGGCGCUCCCGGCCUCAGCUGCCGCUGAAGGUGGAAGUGGAAGAGAUCACUGUGCCUGCGGGCUUUGUCCAGAAGCUCAAUGACCACCUGCUCCUGGUGUACACUGGCAAGACCCGUCUGGCCCGGAAUCUGCUGCAGGACGUGCUGAGGAGCUGGUAUGCCCGGCUGCCUGCCGUUGUGCAGAAUGCCCACAACCUGGUGCGGCACACCGAGGAGUGUGCUGAAGCCUUCCGCCAAGGGAGCCUGCCUCUGCUGGGCCAGUGCCUGACAUCAUACUGGGAGCAGAAGAAGCUCAUGGCUCCAGGCUGUGAGCCCUUGGCUGUGCGGCGUAUGAUGGAUGUCCUGGCCCCCCACGUGCAUGGCCAGAGCCUGGCAGGGGCAGGUGGCGGGGGCUUUCUCUACCUAUUGACCAAGGAGCCGCGGCAAAAGGAGGCUCUGGAGGCUGUGCUGGCCAAGACUGAGGGCCUCGGAAACUACAGCAUCCACCUGGUAGAAGUGGACACUCAGGGCCUGAGCCUGCAGCUGCUGGGGGACUGAGACCUCAGCCUGAUGCCCCUUCUCAUGAGGCUUGUCCCUCUGCAAGGAGAAAGCCUGGAGCUAUAGCAGGCCCUCCCUUCCUUCCCCCACGGGAGCGCUCAGUCUUCUACUCUUCACCCACUUCUUUGUGAAUCUGCUUCCAAAGGAAGCCAACCUGAGCUCAGGCCCAGCCCUUUCUAAAAGUUGGUGAGGCACAGACGGUGCUUGGGAACAGGACUAUGACCUCCUGGUUGACAGGGGCCUAGGCUUGGUGUCUGCUCCAUCUGGACACAGGAAGGUCCUAAGUUCAGCGUCCACUGUGACCUUUACAAAUCUGAUGGCCCAGCUUGGGCCUUGGCCUUCUCUCUCUCCAUGAGGGCCUGGAAGAAGGGGAUGACAACCAGCCUUGGCAGAUGGCUGGGUUCCCUUGGUAAGGCCGACCCUGAAGAGGCCCUUUGAGGCAUUUCCUGUGGCCUUCCUUAGAGGUCAGGCUUUUGCCUGAGUAGAGACUUCCUGUUCCACACUCACUCCCAAGCUGACUUAAUGGGGGAGUGGGAACAGGGAUGAGGCUCCACACUCGUGUCUGUGGCAGAGAGCCAGUGCAGUCCUGCAGCAAGUCACUGCUAAUCGUGGCCUUAACCAGCAACUCUGCCAUGUGCCUGUGGGCCGUGAGUUCUCAGGACUGCAAUCUUCUUGGAAUAAAUUCACUCUGCUCUUCAA